AGAUUAUUUUUUUCAGCUCUUUUCAGUUGAAUCAACGUCCCGUUAUUCUUCGUCUGACCAGAACGGAGAAGUUUUCUCAACGAUUUCGUACACGGCUGAUUCGUCUCGAUUUCGGACAAAGUGCUGCGAAUGUAAAUUUCAAUAUAAAACGGUGCACCAACGUUGUCCACAGACAUCUGGGCCUCGUCGAAUAUCCAUUGAAAAACGAACAACGGAGCUGCGUAUUCGUAAAGAUAAACUUUUUAAAAUCAUUUUAUCGAUUUUUAAUGAUAUGUUUUUAUCCGACAUUGAUUAGCAAUUUUUACUUGUUUGCUUUAGAAGUAUCGUUUCCCUUCGAAGCUAAUCAAUUUGUAUUACUCACCAGUCAAAGUCGGAUAGAGCCGAUAACCGAAGUAACAUCUCCAAGGCUCGUCAGGAUGCUUAACAACGCAAUUGUGUGGUAUACGUGCUUUCCAAAGUUCCAUUCCCUUGUGAACUGCAUCGACAGGUGAUAAACCAUUCGGAGAGUACGGUGCUCUGUCAAGAAACCAGCCUGAAUCUGAGACACCACGUAUAGCUACGUUUUUUAAUCCUACAAAAUGAAAUUAUUGAAUCAAUUUAAAAA
Molecule: long non-coding RNA, 604 nt
Filed under: Polistes fuscatus (common paper wasp)
Lineage: Eukaryota; Metazoa; Arthropoda; Insecta; Hymenoptera; Vespidae
Description: uncharacterized LOC122524133
Source: RNAcentral